AUUGAACGCUGGCGGCAGGCCUAACACAUGCAAGUCGAGCGGAUGAAGGGAGCUUGCUCCUGGAUUCAGCGGCGGACGGGUGAGUAAUGCCUAGGAAUCUGCCUGGUAGUGGGGGAUAACGUCCGGAAACGGGCGCUAAUACCGCAUACGUCCUGAGGGAGAAAGUGGGGGAUCUUCGGACCUCACGCUAUCAGAUGAGCCUAGGUCGGAUUAGCUAGUUGGUGGGGUAAAGGCCUACCAAGGCGACGAUCCGUAACUGGCCUGAGAGGAUGAUCAGUCACACUGGAACUGAGACACGGUCCAGACUCCUACGGGAGGCAGCAGUGGGGAAUCUUGGACAAUGGGCGAAAGCCUGAUCCAGCAAUGCCGCGUGUGUGAAGAAGGUCUUCGGAUUGUAAAGCACUUUAAGUUGGGAGGAAGGGAAGUAAGUUAAUACCUUGCUGUUUUGACGUUACCAACAGAAUAAGCAACGGCUAACUUCGUG
RNAcentral lists this ribosomal RNA (484 nucleotides) under uncultured bacterium. RNAcentral's name for it is "partial 16S ribosomal RNA". It matches the Rfam family "Bacterial small subunit ribosomal RNA", at positions 30 to 507 of the family's 1533-position model. The record is from RNAcentral.